Molecule: ribosomal RNA, 443 nt
Filed under: uncultured bacterium
Lineage: Bacteria
Description: SSU rRNA
Rfam family: Bacterial small subunit ribosomal RNA
Source: RNAcentral
AGAGCGAACGCUGGCGGCAGGCCUAACACAUGCAAGUCGAGCGCCCCGCAAGGGGAGCGGCAGACGGGAGAGUAACACGUGGGAACGUACCCUUCAGUUCGGAACAACCCAGGGAAACUUGGGCUAAUACCGGAUACGUCCGUAAGGAGAAAGAUUUAUCGCUGAAGGAUCGGCCCGCGUCUGAUUAGCUAGUUGGUGGGGUAACGGCUCACCAAGGCGACGAUCAGUAGCUGGUCUGAGAGGAUGAUCAGCCUCACUGGGACUGAGACACGGCCCAGACUCCUACGGGAGGCAGCAGUGGGGAAUAUUGGACAAUGGGCGCAAGCCUGAUCCAGCCAUGCCGCGUGGGUGAUGAAGGCCCUAGGGUUGUAAAGCCCUUUGGCGGGGAAGAUAAUGACGGUACCCGCAGAAGAAGCCCCGGCUAACUUCGCGCCAGCAGCCGC